GCCUGUGCUCUGGAGCUUGAUCCGAAAGCUUCCACAGUGAGGACUGCUCCGUGGGGGUAAGAGAGCACCAGGCACUGAGGCCUGGGAGUUCCACAGACCAACACCCCUGCUCCUGGCGGCUCCCACCCGGGACUUAGACCCUCAGGUCCCUAAUAUCCCGGAGGUGCUCUCAAUCAGAAAGGUCCUGCUCCGCUUCGCAGUGGAAUGGAACGGAUUUAGAAGCCUGCAGUAGGGGAGUGGGGAGUGGAGAGAGGGAGCCCAGAGUUACAGACGGCGGCGAGAGGAAGGAGGGGCGUCUUUAUUUUUUUAAGGCCCCAAAGAGUCUGAUGUUUACAAGACCAGAAAUGCCACGGCCGCGUCCUGGCAGAGAAAAGGCUGAAAUGGAGGACCGGCGCCUUCCUUAUAAGUAUGCACAUUGGCGAGAGAAGUGCUGCAACCUAAACCAGCAAUUACACCCAAGCUCGUUGGGGCCUAAGCCAGUACCGACCUGGUAGAAAAAGCAACCACGAAGCUAGAGAGAGAGCCAGAGGAGGGAAGAGAGCGCCAGACGAAGGUGAAAGCGAACCACGCAGAGAAAUGCAGGCAAGGGAGCAAGGCGGCAGUUCCCGGAACAAACGUGGCAGAGGGCAAGACGGGCACUCACAGACAGAGGUUUAUGUAUUUUUAUUUUUUAAAAUCUGAUUUGGUGUUCCAUGAGGAAAAGGGAAAAUCUAGGGAACGGGAGUACAGAGAGAAUAAUCCGGGUCCUAGCUCGCCACAUGAACGCCCAGAGAACGCUGGAAAAACCUGAGCGGGUGCCGGGGCAGCACCCGGCUCGGGUCAGCCACUGCCCCACACCGGGCCCACCAAGCCCCGCCCCUCGCGGCCACCGGGGCUUCCUUGCUCUUCUUAUCAUCUCCAUCUUUAUGAUGAGGCUUGUUAACAAGACCAGAGAGCUGGCCAAGCACCUCUAUCUCAGCCGCGCCCGCUCAGCCGAGCAGCGGUCGGUGGGGGGACUGGGAGGCGCUAAUUAAUUGAUUCCUUUGGACUGUAAAAUAUGGCGGCGUCUACACGGAACCCAUGGACUCAUAAACAAUAUAUCUGUUG
This 1086-nucleotide long non-coding RNA is filed under the name Homo sapiens (human). RNAcentral's name for it is "HOX transcript antisense RNA variant G1.31". The record is from RNAcentral. Lineage: Eukaryota; Metazoa; Chordata; Mammalia; Primates; Hominidae.